This is a non-coding RNA of Gasterosteus aculeatus aculeatus (three-spined stickleback), 927 nucleotides long. The record is from RefSeq and is a predicted model, not a curated record. Lineage: Eukaryota; Metazoa; Chordata; Actinopteri; Perciformes; Gasterosteidae.
CCUGUGCGCACACACACACGCACGCACACACACACACACACACAAUGAGGGGGCGUGUCUCCGACUGGUCAGCGAUCACAUCAACAAGCCGAUGAAAACAAGAGCCCAGGUGACCCCAGGUGACCCCGGCAGCGAGGAGCUGUGUACCUCGGAGGAUCCUCUCCUCGUGGCAGCGCAUAAAGUCCCAGAUCCGAACGGUGCCGUCGUCUGAGCAGGUGGCAAAUUUAUUAUCUGUUGGAGAAAAACUGAAGAAUACAGACAGAGCGUCACCACGGUGACGUGAUGGACACGUCCUCACUGGAUCCUAACAACAACAAUUAAUGUCACAAGGUCUCAUUUUUGAUUGGUCGAAGCAUUUGGCCGCGGGGUUUCCCCCUCCAGGUGCAUUGUGGGGAUUCACAGUCUUAAAUCUGAUUUGUUCCUCAGGGCUCUACAUUGGGACCGAAUCUCUUCUGAUAAGACUCGCAAUAUUCAAAGUUGGAAACUUUCCACGGGAACAUACGGGAAUAAACUGGAAAUGUGGGGAGAAUUUUACUGCAUUUACCAUUUUGUUUUGUCAUAAGAAGACAUUUCUAAUACACAUUAAAAAAAUUAAAUUUUGGACUUAAUCCACACACAUCCAUCCUACUCACUGCUGUAAGACGUUAGCGUGCGAUAUACAAAUGAACUAAAGUCAGCUUGGCUUCAGUGAUCCACGUGCCUGCAGCCUGCAGCCUGCACGGUCCGUUACGUGCUUUGCAAAACAACUUUUAGAACAAUGAAAAUUCACAUGGAAAGUUUCUGAAACCUUCUGGCCCCGUUGCAGCCCUACUUUGCCUCCCGGAUCUCACAAACACGAGACAGGAUGAAGAGAAAUACAUUUGGUAAAGUGACUGUAUAUUUUCCAUUAGUGUUCAGAUGACAUCUAAUAAAAAGUGAAAAGUCAAA